This is a long non-coding RNA of Clarias gariepinus (North African catfish), 885 nucleotides long. RefSeq lists it as uncharacterized. NCBI's taxonomy places the organism in Eukaryota, Metazoa, Chordata, Actinopteri, Siluriformes, Clariidae. The record is from RefSeq and is a predicted model, not a curated record. The transcript is spliced from 3 exons.
UGGAGUUGUGGUCUGGAAGAAGAAGAACUCUGCCUUCAAACCUGUUCCACCCAAACCCUGUAAGUGAACCUUUAUGAUCCAUAAAUGAUGUUUAAAACCACUACAUUAUUUAUACACAGUGUUUAGUCACUUUGUGAUGGAUGUGAAUGUUUUACAGCCUCUGAAGGAGAUUCUUCAACCAACAACUCUUAGAGUGUGACUUCCUGCUGAACUGAGAGAGAGGAGACUGAACUGAUGGAUGCCUCGUAGGAAUAUUGCCUCAGCUAAUUUAAGGUCAAGAGUGUUCCUGAAAAAAAUUCAGCCUUAUUGAUACUUGGAUGGAACAUUUUGUGACUCGUUCAGCAACUCGUGACUCAUCAUUCUAGUUGUUUAGCUGACAACAGUAUUUUUGUUAACAAUAUUAGGACCCCUGUGACUGAUCAUAGAGAAAUGUGUGUAUGUGUAAGGUUUUAUACUAUUGUAAGACAUUAUAAUCUAAUAAGAAGAUUCCCGUGCCCUGAGAACAGACCCCUCACUGUGCUUCCUCAUGUCUUAUGUGGUAACACCUUCUAUAUCCUGUAUCCAGACGAACAUGCCAGAACCCUUUUGUUUAAUCAGGAGAAUGUAAAUGUAUCUCCUCUCACCUGUCUUUCUCCGUGUCUCUCUAUGACUGACGUGUUAUUGAUUGGUUCUUCUGAUGUUUGGGACACAGCACCGCUUUAAAUGUGCUCUCUUUGCUGAGAAUAAACAGAGAUCUUCAGACAUCAUGCCUGUGUGUGUGUGUGCUUGUCUCUCCCGGUCGAUCGGACCCGGACUGGUAAGUGUAUCAGGGUUCAGUGGACACAGCAAGCUAAAACUCUUAUUCUUCCUCUUUUAAACCUAACAGUAUGUCUUUUCCAUUACAUC